Molecule: non-coding RNA, 148 nt
Filed under: Nomascus leucogenys (northern white-cheeked gibbon)
Lineage: Eukaryota; Metazoa; Chordata; Mammalia; Primates; Hylobatidae
Source: Rfam by way of RNAcentral
GCUGGGUGUGGUGGCGCAUGCCUGUAAUCCCAGCUACUCAGGAGACUGAGGCAGGGGAAUUGCUUGAACCCAGGAGGCAGAGGUUGCAGUGAGCCAGGAUCGUGCCACUGCACUCCAGCCUGGGCAACAGAGCAAGACUCUGUCUCAA